RNAcentral lists this small RNA (106 nucleotides) under Marmota monax (woodchuck). Lineage: Eukaryota; Metazoa; Chordata; Mammalia; Rodentia; Sciuridae. The record is from RNAcentral.
GCCAGGUAUGGUGGCACACACCUGUAAUCCCAUCCACUCGGAGGCUGAGGCAGGAGGAUCACAAAUUUGAGGGCAGCCUGGGCAACUUAGUGAGACCCUGUCUCAA